GGUAGGUUAGAGGUUGUGAAAGGGGGUAUUCACUGUCUCCACCCAAUCUCUUCUCCCACAGUUAUUUUCUGGGACUCUGCACUAUACAACUUUAUUUGAUGGCAGAACAUUCAGAGGCUGUAAGCUUGACACAUGGCAAAAUGCUUCUGCUGUUACUGUGUCUCGGUUUGGUAACUUCUAAUGUCCAGUCAGGAAUGAAAGGGAUUGACGUAACGUGUGAAAGUCAAUCGGUUGUAGCAGGACGGAACCACAACCUGACAUGUAGAGUGGAUUGCCGUGAUGCAGAUCAGAAUAAGACGGGAUGUAAAACUGAACGUGAGAAAUGAAAAACAAGCGUUUCUGGGAUCGUCAGGUCACCUAUCGUCAUUAUCAUCACUGUUCUGGGUCUUCUACUGUUUCUCAUCUCUUCUGGCUAUGGCAGAAGAUUGAUGGGUCGACUUAAGUUCCUUGAGAAAAAUGACAACAUUGACAAGAGCCCUGAAGCUACCAGAGAGGCCCUAAACCUGGAGCCUGCAUAACAUUCAGUUCAUGGAGGAGCCGUGUGUGUGAGAGCGUGUGUGUGUGCGUGUUAAGUAUUCUAUCCUUGUGGGGACAUAUCCCACGUCCCCAUGAAGACACAGGCUAUUUUAAGCUUAGGUUUAGGGUUACAAUUAGGGUUAGGAGUUAGGUUUGGGUUAGUGUUAGGGUAAGGGUUAGGGAAAAUAUGACUUUGAAUGUAAAUAAAUGUUAGUUCCCCACAAGGAUAAAAUAACGUGUGUGUGGCUUGUUAAUAGUUGUUUUCAAAAAUAUUUUUUGCACCAAAGUUAGUGGAAUUAGUUUCUGUUUCAAAUCACUAAUAAGAGUUAUUCACUGACUUGACUAGUGUAAAUACCACUACAGUACAAUGUACAUUUAUAGUGACUAAUGCAUUGUUACACAUAGCCUGUUCACUACCAUACAAUAACUGAGAAUGUGAAUUAAUCAAUAUAAAUAAUGCUACACAAAUAUUAAAAAGCCUUAAAGGACAAUAUUCAUCUUUAUAUUCAACACCAAAGUUGGAAGAUAACAGGUCGGUCUGCCUAAACUGCAUUGUCAUAACCUUUACUAAGCUUGUUUAAAAAGGCAGUUGGUUUUGGUCUGCACAGUGCCUUCAGAAAGUAUUCAUACCCCUUAACUUACUGAAUUCAAAAUGGAUUAAAUCGAUUUAUUUUCUCACCCAUCUACACACUAUACCCCAUAAUGACAAAGUGAAAACAUGUUUUCAGAAAUGUUUACUAAUUUACUGCAAAUGAAAAACAGAAAUAUGUCAUUUACAUAAGUAGUCACACCCCUAAGUCAAUACUUUGUAGAAGCACCUUUGACAGUGAUUACAGCUGUGACUCUGUCUGGGUAAGUCUCUAAGAGCUUUCCACACCUGGACUGUUCAACAUUUGCCCAUUAUUCUCUUCAAAAUUCUUCAAGCUCUGCCAAAUUUGCUGUUGAUCAUUGCUAGAGAACCAUUUUCAGGUCUUGCCAUAGAUUCACUGUCUUCUUGGUAAGCAACUCCAGUGUAGAUUUGGCCUUGUGUUAUUGUCCAGCUGAAAGGUGAAUUCAUCUCCCAGUGUCUGGUGUAUUGGAUUAGCCUAAAAAAUAACACUUUCUAUUCAGGACAAAAGCUUAACUGCUUUGCCAUAUAACUAUAGUUCCUUGUUUCAAACAUGAUGCAUGUUUUGGAAUAUGUUUUAUUCUGUACAGGCUUCCUUCUUUUCACUCUGUCAAUUAUUAUUAUUUAUUUACCUUUAUAUAACUAGGCAGGUCAGUUAAGAACAAAUUCUUAUUUACAAUGACAGCCUACUCGGGAACAGUGGGUUAACUGCCUUGUUCAGGUGCAGAACGACAGAUUUUUACCUUGUCAGCUCGGUGAUUCGAUCCACAAACCUUUUGGUUAAUGGCCCAACACUCUAACCACUAGGCAACAUGCCGCCCCAUCAAACUAGUCAAUUAGGUUAGUAUUGUGUAGUAAUUACAAUGUGUUUGAUCCAUCCUCAAUGUUUUCCUAUCACAACCAUUAAACUCUGUAACUGUUUUAAAGUCACCAGUAGCUUCAUUGUGAAAUCCAUGAGUGGUUUCCUUCCUGUCUAACAACUGAGUUAGGAAGGACGCCUGUAUCUUUGUAGUGACUGGAUGUAUUGAUACACCACCCAAAGUGAAAUUAGUAACUCCACCAUGCUCAAAGGGAUAUUCAAUGUCUGCUUUUUGCUUUGUUUUACCCAUCUACCAAUAGGUGCCCUUUACAAGGCAUUUGGAAAACCUCCCUGGUCUUUGUGCUUGAAUCUGUGUUUGAAAUUCCCUGCUCGUCCAAAGGACCUUACCAAUAAUUGUAUGUGUGGGGUACAGAGAUAAAGUAGUCAUUUAUAAAAUCAUGUUAAAACACUAUUAUUGCACACAGAGUGAGUCCAUGCAAUGUAUUAUGUGAUUUGUUAAGCAAAUGUUUACUCCUGAACUUAUUUAGACUUGCCAUAUCAAAGGGGUUGAAUACUUUUUCACUCAAGACAUUUCAGAUUUUCAUUUUUAAUUCAUUUGUAAAUCUUUUGAAAAACAUAAUUCCACUUUGACAUUAUGGGCUAUUGUGUGUAGACCAGUGACCCAAACAUCUCAGUUGAAUUUAUUUCAGGCUUUACCACAACAAAAUGUGGACAAAGUCAAGGGGUGUGAAUACUUUCUGAAGGCACGGUAUCAUUUGAUGUGUUGUAUUAUUCUGCAAAACUCACACAAGCAGUGAUUUACCACUAAGCUUGUUUUGUAAUAUAGAUGUAAUAUUCUGCAUGGGAAUUUUGUUAUGAAUAUGGCUAUUGAUUUAUGUACAAAUACACUUUAGGAAAUAACCAGUCUUAUUAUAAUGUUACUUCUAUCAUAUAGAGCUAAUUAUCUUGUAUUUAAUUAUUAUCUACACCAAUCAUGUAUAUUUCAGACAUCACAGUACAUACAGUAACUCGCAGGUAGACAUUUAUUUGGAUGACUCAUGUACUGGAGGCAGCUCUACAGAGUGGUCACUAGCUGGCACAACAACAAAGUCAUAAAACCUAACCCUAACUUUAACCCUACAUAGCAUUUUUGAGAUCAAUAUUAUUUUUACAUCUACAGUGUUAAAUGUAACACUUAAUGUGUAUAUGCGACCCAUCAAAAUAGUGUUAUUAAACAAACACUGUUCAAAGUGUUGACAAACUAACACCCCUAGAGCGUUGGUUCCCUAACUCCAUGGGUGUUGCAAAUUCAGACUUUAACACUAUUAGAGAUGACGCUGCUACACUUUUUAGUUUUAUUCCCAAACACAGUAUUUUGGGGGAGUGUUGGUUUAACACUGUAUGACCAUCUGCAUUUUUAACUCAAAUACUUCUAGUAAGUUCAAUGAAAAGUAAUUAUUACUAAAACUGACUCCAAACUAAAUGAGAAGUCAAAUCAACGACAUUAUGCAUGCUCUACUGCAUGUCCAUGUUUGUGAAUUGUUUUUAAUAUCUGUGUUUUUGCAAGAACAUCAAGUGAUUUAUUGAUUAAUC
Non-coding RNA from Salmo salar (Atlantic salmon), 3515 nucleotides. The record is from RefSeq and is a predicted model, not a curated record. NCBI's taxonomy places the organism in Eukaryota, Metazoa, Chordata, Actinopteri, Salmoniformes, Salmonidae.